Molecule: non-coding RNA, 28 nt
Filed under: Bombyx mori (domestic silkworm)
Lineage: Eukaryota; Metazoa; Arthropoda; Insecta; Lepidoptera; Bombycidae
Source: RNAcentral
UCAUUGCGAGAUGGUAAUCCCAUCACAC